CAGGCCAAAAAUUAUCUAAGGCUUUAUCACAUUUCAUUUGCAUCAAGAUAGCCCUCAUUUUCUGGCUCCACUUAUUAAAGUCCCCCCUCCCAUCAUACAUGCUCACUUCAAACUUAGCAGUAGCCAUGACAAGAUUCACCAAGACAGUUCACAGAACACAAGUUUGAAUUCAAGAACAUACAGGGAUACAUAAUAAUAGUACUGUAGGCAGAACAGGGGAUUUGGGGUCAGUGACCAAUGCACUUAUAUUAUUUUCACAAAAUGGUAAACACUUAAUACUAAGUAUAGAAGGCAGAAUCACAAAGAAUAGAGAUGACAAUCCUAUGCCUCAACUAAAUUCUCCAGCAAGACCUUCCAAUUGCAUUCCUGCUAGUGUUGUUAUCUCAGAUUCCGAAGACUUCUUUAGUCUUUGGACAAAGACCAGCCAUAGUAGGUUUUGUUACUGCAAGGGAAAAAUUAGGAGACCCUACUGUAAAGAUUAAUUGCCGAAUGCAGGAAAGAUCUCACCAAUGAGUUUGAUAAAACUCAAUUUCCACCGGCUAAUGUUUAUUGUCGGUUUCAGGAAUAGGGUUUAAUCAAGAAAUCACAAAGCUCCAGUAGUCCAGCUUGCUCUGAUACCAUUGAAAAGUCGAGAGAUAUCAAUAUUAACCAAGAUUCCAAAAAAAAAAAAAAACAAUCAUAAACUGAAAAUAAAGUGCAAGAAAUAAAAAUGAAAAAAAGGAUUUUUUUUGCCGAAGCCCCAGAGGUUCGGCGACAACUUAUAACGCCUAAUUCCCUGUUGAGCAUCCAUUAAAAUGGAUAAAGCUCGAUUGCACUAUAAAGCCCCAAAAUCAGGCACCAAAAAUUAUAAGAAUGUUCCAACAAUUACAAGAAAUAAAGUCACCAAGACUUAUCUUUAAAAUGAAACACAAAUCAAGCCUCACUCCACUAAGGAAUCAAGAAACCCGGAUCACACAGGUGCCAAAAACAAACUGCCCUCUUCGAACCACAGAAGAAUGAGUGCUAAUACACAGUGUAUCACUUUCUACCGAGAGACUAUAUACAAAAUCACAAAGAUUUCAUGGAAAUUUGAACUUCCAACAUGAAUCACGCAGAUUCGUACACCAUACCAAAAAACCCAGUAUAUUAACACAAGUAAAUGGAGUAGAACUUCAUCAUCCCUCAAGUAUACACCUGAGAAUCACUCAAGAUUGGCUUGAAUAUGUGAAGAAGAGGGAUUUCAUACACAGAGAAGAAGAGAGAUGAAGAGACGACCCCAAACCCUAGAGAAAAUCUCUCAAAUCUGAAAAUGUAAGAAUAAAGUCUCUCUCUCCAAUCUGAAAAAUCACGUUCCCAGUAGAGAGUCACAAGAUUUCAUAAUUGGAAGUCUCUAGAAUCUGAUCGGAUGGUCAUCU
This 1394-nucleotide long non-coding RNA is filed under the name Olea europaea (common olive). Its description in RNAcentral is "long non-coding RNA (OEUR_LNC005938)". Lineage: Eukaryota; Viridiplantae; Streptophyta; Magnoliopsida; Lamiales; Oleaceae. The record is from RNAcentral.